Molecule: RNA transcript, 2189 nt
Organism: Helianthus annuus (common sunflower)
Lineage: Eukaryota; Viridiplantae; Streptophyta; Magnoliopsida; Asterales; Asteraceae
Exons: 12
Source: RefSeq, a predicted model, not a curated record
UCAAAAUUCGAAUUCCCACUCAUCCCCACUUCCCCAUACAUCCAGUCUUUUCAUUUCACAUCAGUCUCUUCCUUUCCUUCUCUACUCCUCUCAAAACCAUCUCCAAUUCUCAAUUUUCUGUACGCAUGACCCAAUUUCUCCAUGGCUGUUCUUGCAAAAUCCCUAGAUUCCAAAAUAUUGAGCCACGAUCUGAACAAAACCAGCUUCAGAUCUAAACAAAACCACCCACGAAAAGGUUUGCAAUGGUGAACAGAAUCCCCUCUACUCCAUGGUUUCAGCCGUCACUGAUGACACUCCAGGUUCUUCCCUUCUCUGGUUCCAGAGAUGACUAUGGUGGUGUCACGGAAGAGGUUUGCAACGGAACAACUGUGCUGGAACCUUUGAAGAUCGACGAUGAUGGCGGCGGUUAGGGUUCCGGUUCUUCCCUUCUCUGGUUCCAAAGUGACACCGUUCUUUUGAAUCACUGGAUUUCAUUUACAUUUGUUUGUGUUUUUAAGAUGGAUCUUUGUUUUUUCUGUAGGUCAUGGUUUAAAGAACAGAUUUGAUUUGCUGAAAGAUCAAGACCACGACCAGUUACGCCCCUACGCCCCUGAAGACGAAGAUGACGUUGAUGGUGAGUUAUGUAUCAGAGAUUCAGAGCAAGCCCUAACCCUAGAUUUCAAUAAUGUCAUCUAAGCAAGUUCUUGCUGCAAAGGUGGAAAAGUGAAGCCACUGAAGCAACCAAAGGCUGAAAAGAAAGAAUACAAUGAGGAUUAGCAGAGUUCCCUGAUGCCAUUCAGUUACGAGACCAGUUGCUUCAGUUACGAGACCAGUUGCUGUUGCUAUGACGGAUAAAUUAGCAGAUGUUCGUAAAGCAGCAGAGGCAUGCUUUGGGGAUGUUGUUUGUGGACCAGAAAUGUCAUGAAGAAUGUAAGAGAUAUUCAAGGUCUCGCGCUGGCAAUUGUUCUUGAACGAUUGAAGACACAUGGUGCAUUUCCAGAAGUGCAUGAGAACACAAGAACACAAGAACAAUCCCAGCUGGACAAACAUCGAAAACAGGUUCAAAUAUUGGCAAACCAAAUAGUCAUGGAUCAAGGCAUGGAAGCACAUAUCAAGCGCGUAUAGGCUUAAUGACAGCUGGCUCUUAUGGACUCCCACAGUUCCGGAUGUGAAUGAUUAUGUGGGGUGCUAGGCCCAAUGAGAAACUACCACAAUACCCGUUACCCACACUGGUGAGAAGUGUAGGAUGUAUACUGGGAGUGCCCUGCUACUAAAUACAGUUACUCUGAGAUUACUGCAGCACUAGGCACUCAUGUUCCAGUCUUUACUAAUCAUCCGGACGGAAUAAUUGGAAAGGGUGCAAUUUCUGAUGAAAUCUACGAGGUUGAGUGGUAUUUUCGUCCAGACGAGGUUGAUUCAGUAAUGUUGAUUGUUGGAUUUCUACCAGGGUUGAAAGUCACAAUAAUCUCGCUUUUAAAGCAAAUUCAGGUUAUAAAUCUCUUUUUUUUUCCUAUAGUGGUUUAAUUGUUCUUUUUAACAGACAUCUGGGAGUUCUCAACUUCGGUUUCAGGGUGUAACUCCCCUGCUGCCAUAAUGAUGUUCGCUUAUAUUCCAGUUUUCAUGAUAAUAUAUAUUCAUCUGUUUGGGGAAGCCGUCGAUGACGAUCUAUCGGACAAUUUCAUUGUGAAGACAUGCCAAAGAUGCAUCCCAGUAACAUGUAAUAACGAAGCCGGCGAGUUUAUGGAAGCCGGCAUGUGUGAUUGGUGUGAGUUGGGCAGUUUUUUAUGGUUAUUCUUGUUGAGCCUUGGUUUAGUGGUGUUCCAAUCGGGUUCGUUUCAGGUAUCUUUUGGUGCAGUAUGUUUUGAGCCUGGAAGUUUCCCAGAUAAAUGUGUAACAUGGGCAAGAGGAUUGGUCGACGAAGAAGAUGACCAAUUUCUGGUGCAUUCUUUCAUCGCCCCUGUUUUUUCAAUGGGUCACCAUCAAGUAGAGUUUCUUACCUGCGAAUACAGGACACACCAUUUGGGGAUGGCGACAAUAUCUUAUCUUUCUCUUCACAUGUUGUUUGAUUUUUUGUAUGAAUUUGAUUUACUCUCACUUUUAAAACCAAGUUCCCGUCCCUUUUAUGGGUCGUUGCUUGUUUCCUAACUUCUCUAUUGUAUAUAUAAUACUUUGACUAGCUUAUGUGACCACUAAGUUUUUUUUGGACUUCA